This is a long non-coding RNA of Lontra canadensis (Northern American river otter), 662 nucleotides long. RefSeq lists it as uncharacterized. Lineage: Eukaryota; Metazoa; Chordata; Mammalia; Carnivora; Mustelidae. The transcript has 3 exons. The record is from RefSeq and is a predicted model, not a curated record.
GGCCGGCGCGCCCGCGUUCCUUCCCCCCCCCAGGACCUUCCUGGAUCUGGUUCUUUGAGGUUACUGUUUAGAGGCCGGCGCGCGCCGGUGGGGACGCGAUCUCGUGGAAUGCGAGAGGGGCCGUGUAGAGUUGAAGGAGUCCGCAGCAGACCCAGGUCAAUGUCCUGGAAAGACCAGAAAAAGCAUUUGGAGCUUUAUGCCACUGCAGCCCCCCACCUAGAAAGUGGGAAGACCCUUCCCACUUAAGCUGUCUAUUAAAAUCUUCUUCAUAAGUCAAGGACAAAUUCUAAUCUCACCUCUUCAGUAAAGCCUGGUGUGAUGCAUUUCCUACUGAGAAGAGCUCAUUGGGAAACAAGAAUGAAAAAGAUACAAUGCUUGCCCUGGCAGAGUCUACAUUAUAAUAUGGAGACAAAACAUUUACUCGUGUAAAUGUAAUUUAAUAAGCAAUGUGUUUUUAAGUAUUUACAGGUGAGGUGACAGGAUCAUGAUAUCUUGGGUUUGUUUUAAAUGAUUCUAGGGAAGGUUGGCUGGGUGGCUCAGUCAGUUAAGUGCCAACUUUUGGUUUCGACUCAAGUUGGGAUCUAGGGAUCCUGGGGUAUAACCCUGCGUUGGGCUUCAGGUUCAGCACAGGGUCUGCUAAAGUUUCUCUCUUCCUCUCCCUC